This 65-nucleotide transfer RNA is filed under the name Nectonemertes cf. mirabilis HC-2011. Its description in RNAcentral is "tRNA-Asp". Lineage: Eukaryota; Metazoa; Nemertea; Enopla; Monostilifera; Nectonemertidae. The record is from RNAcentral.
AAGAAGUUAGUUAAUUUAAUAAUAUAAAUUUGUCAUUUUUAAGAAGCUAAGUUUAGUACUUUUUG